This 116-nucleotide ribosomal RNA is filed under the name Bacillus safensis. RNAcentral also lists the same sequence under 1 other name. The record is from RNAcentral. Lineage: Bacteria; Bacillati; Bacillota; Bacilli; Caryophanales; Bacillaceae.
UUUGGUGGCGAUAGCGAAGAGGUCACACCCGUUCCCAUACCGAACACGGAAGUUAAGCUCUUCAGCGCCGAUGGUAGUUGGGGGUUUCCCCCUGUGAGAGUAGGACGCUGCCAAGC